CGACAGGGCGCGUGCCGAUGGCGCAGCCGCCGGGCAACGACACCUUGGCUUCCUUCAUCCGCGCGAGCAGCGGCGCGAUCACCCAGAAGCUGGCGCGCAUCUUCGAGACCAGCUCAUAGGGAGCGGAUGAUGUUGGCCGCGGAAAUAUGCAGCGUCUGGCCCUGAUACUCAUGGUCGCCCGGGCGCUUGCCCUUCGACAUGAUGUCGAGGCCAUGAUUGCCGAGAAUGCGCUGAAGCUGCGCGACGUCGGCCAGGCGCGGCACGUUGUCGAGAAUCAGC
Molecule: unclassified non-coding RNA, 279 nt
Filed under: Hevea brasiliensis (rubber tree)
Lineage: Eukaryota; Viridiplantae; Streptophyta; Magnoliopsida; Malpighiales; Euphorbiaceae
Source: RNAcentral